RNAcentral lists this unclassified non-coding RNA (619 nucleotides) under Hevea brasiliensis (rubber tree). Lineage: Eukaryota; Viridiplantae; Streptophyta; Magnoliopsida; Malpighiales; Euphorbiaceae. The record is from RNAcentral.
UGCAAAAAAUAAUGGCAACAUGCUGAGGGAAAAUGAUGCAAGGGCAUCUGAAUUGCAUUAUAAUGCUUAUUAUCUUAGUAAGAAGAAGGCUGUCAAAGAGUUAUUAAAAACUGUUUUUCUCUCUCAGGACUCUGGAUCAUCAUAACUAACAACUCAGUACUAAUCUCAUGAGCCAAUUAGGAUGAACUAGGAGGUAGCAGUAGCACAACCCAAAAGUGAAAAGGUUCAAAGUUGUUGCAUAGACUAUAAUCUUUUGCAUACAGGAACUCAAUUCCAUACAAGUCCAAUACUACAAUUAGUUUGUUCACAAUAACAUGAGAUCAAAAGAUGGAUGAAUCUUCUAAUUAUCACAACAUUAAUGACAUCACAUAUGUGAUAUAUUCCUAUUAAAUUUUCCUGUAUGCGGUCCAAAAUCAUACUUUACUGGGCUAGUCCAAAUUCUCCAAUAAUUUUUACCAGCCAAUUACAUAAAAACUACUUUGGUGUCAAAACCCUACGAACACUUUCAAUCUCAAAUAUCCAAAUAAACAGCCAUCACAGCAAACGCCUACUGUUCUUUACUCAUUAAAAAGUGACCAACCAAUAUUAAUUCCAUAUUAUCAGCAUACUAACUGCAAAU